RNAcentral lists this ribosomal RNA (470 nucleotides) under uncultured Anaeromyxobacter sp. RNAcentral describes it as "bacterial SSU rRNA". It matches the Rfam family "Bacterial small subunit ribosomal RNA", at positions 335 to 796 of the family's 1533-position model. The record is from RNAcentral. Lineage: Bacteria; Pseudomonadati; Myxococcota; Myxococcia; Myxococcales; Anaeromyxobacteraceae.
GUACCUACGGGGGGCUGCAGUGGGGAAUCUUGCGCAAUGGGCGAAAGCCUGACGCAGCAACGCCGCGUGUGUGAUGAAGGUCUUCGGAUCGUAAAGCACUGUCGGGAGGAAAGAACAAGCCUGUGGCUAACAUCCACGGGCCUUGACGGUACCUCCAAAGGAAGCACCGGCUAACUCUGUGCCAGCAGCCGCGGUAAUACAGAGGGUGCAAGCGUUGUUCGGAAUUAUUGGGCGUAAAGCGCGUGUAGGCGGCCUUGCAAGUUGGGUGUGAAAGCCCUCGGCUUAACCGAGGAAGUGCGCCCAAAACUACAAGGCUUGAGUACCGGAGAGGAUGGCGGAAUACCCGGUGUAGAGGUGAAAUUCGUAGAUAUCGGGUGGAACACCAGUGGCGAAGGCGGCCAUCUGGACGGAUACUGACGCUGAGACGCGAAAGCGUGGGGAGCAAACAGGAUUAGAUACCCCUGUAGUCG